Triticum dicoccoides is the source of this 2836-nucleotide RNA transcript. RefSeq lists it as uncharacterized. The record is from RefSeq and is a predicted model, not a curated record. The transcript has 10 exons. NCBI's taxonomy places the organism in Eukaryota, Viridiplantae, Streptophyta, Magnoliopsida, Poales, Poaceae.
UCAAAGCAAUCCCAGUGCUCUAGUCACUUCACGCAUUUACCGCAUCUACACGCGCAGCUCAUCUUCUUGAACAAUCCAUCUCCCCACCCACCCACCGACCAGAGUCCCAAGAAGAACAAGAAGGCGAUCUAGCAGGGAGAAUGCCAUGGCCGCGCACGGGAGCUCACCCACCCUCCAGUUAGCGGUCAGCAUUUAGGUUUUUGCCUAUCAGCGAUUUGUUCAGCAAGAAGCCGCCGCCAAAAAAGUUCAUGGUGUUUGUCGGAAUGGAUAAUCAUUUUGCCGCGGAGGGAUUAGCAAGAGUUAUGAAUCAAGAUACAAUGAGCGAGGUUUCCCCGGAUGACUUAGAUAGCGAUGGCGAUUGUUCUGGCGGAUCCAGUGGUGUGGCAGGGACACCAUCAAUUACGUCUAGGCUCUCGUUGUUGAAGUUAGGCUCUGUUAUUUCCAAGUUUUCGGACUUCAAGAAACAACUAGUCAGAGAAACAGGUUUUGAUGGUUUGCUUCAGAUUAAGUCAUGGCAAAAAAUCAAUCUUAAGUACAGCACUUACCUCAUGGAUAGAGUCGAUGUUGACAGCAGCGUGAUCAACUUGGAAGGCCAGGGCAUGCUUGAGCUUACAGACAAGUCAGUUCACUCUGUUUUUGCAAUUCCAUGCGGUGAGCUAGCAAUUGGACCUGAAGGUGUCGAACCAUCCGAAGCUUGCAUUGAGUAUACACGUUUUGCAGCUAGCAUCAAUGACAAAGGUACACACAGCUUGAAAGCAGCAGAGGCAUACCUGCUACGGGACAUCACAGCCCAGUCCAGACAGAUUGAUAUCCAGUGUUUCAAAAUUGCAUUCGUCAUCUUUGUAGUUGGCCAUGUUCUUGCCCCAUCAGCCAAGCAUGAUUACAUAACAAUAGAUUUCUGGGCUGCCCUGAAUGAUGUUAGCAAAAUCAGAAAAUGGAACUGGUGCAGCUACCUUCUGAAGCACCUGUUCCAUGCUGUCAGGAAAUUCAAAUCAGAUGUCUCUAAGCGAAACCCAACCAUUCACAUUGUCGGAUGCCAUUUGUUCCUACAGCCUAGACCUUGGUCAAAUGAACAAGCCACACAGAAUGCAUCCAAGGAUAGCACUUUUCGAGUAUGAGUCCAUAAAGAAGAUGAUUGAGAUCAUAGCGGUCAACAUGGGAGGAGGUGAAAUAUCAUACCACGGCGCCUCGGCUAGGUCUGAACAAAACAUCAGCAAGGGCCUCGUCUGCGCAUCCACUGAUCCUGCAGACGAAAACAUUCCAAGGACAUCUACCAUGACCAAACGAGUCCAGAUGCCCUCCGCGCCUAUUUUAAGAGCUACCUACGCCAAAAUUGGACCCCAAGAUUUCUCAAACCAUCUACGGACAAACCACCCAUCAAUAGUAGCUCAUCUGCCAAUAGCUCAAUUGCACGGAAGAGGGGGGUUGUGUUCAGCCCGUCCAUCCAGGGGGAAUCAUCGAAGAAGGUCUGUGUGCGACUGGACGACCCACUCCAAACUAUUAGCCCUUCAGCUGUCGAUACUAUCAACAACUCAUCUUUGUCAGCAAAGCAAGAUAGUCGCCGUGAGGUUGCCGAUAGUAUAUAUGCAUUCUUUGACGACCUGACUGCUAGCAUUGUUACAUACUAUGCUGAGCAACGCCCGAGCUCUGGAUAUGUGACAUUCGGAACAACGAACGAUAGCGUGCCAGCCAAAAUUCGGAUUACUAAAUGCAACAUCGCCCGUGACCCAUGGGCAAUUGGGUCAGUCCCUUUGCCUCCGGCAGCUCCAGUUCUCAGGGCCAUAAAAGAUUGGUUUGCUGGGUCAGCCACUCUUAUUCUUGAAAGGAAAUGGAUUAUGCAUCCGAAGCCGAGACUCAUAUUACUUGACGGCAUUGAAAUCAAGCAACAACUAUCAGGCAAAGAACAGCUUAGCCAUGAGAUGUGUGCUGCUAUCUUUAGGAGACUGUCACAGAUGGACAAGAGCUUCAUGAAGGACACAUUGACCAUGUUUUGGAGGAAGUUUCUAGAGCCCGACUUCGCUACUGCGGUUUUGUCAAAUGCGGAUCCAUUGACGAUCCAGUCAAUCCGUGCAACAUUUAUCGAAGAAAACGAGAUUUUCAGCCCAGCCUCUAGCCGGAUGUGGCAUAUCCCUGCAUUGCUGCCCGACGGCUGGUCCGUCUACUCAUUUGACAUGCUCAGAAGAAGGAUUGCAGUACUUGACCCGGCAGUUGGACCAUUUGGGUUUAGCAACCGAAGGAUCAACAUGCACACAUACGUAUCUGACUUGCUACACGCUGCCCUCUUCAGAUGCAUCCAAUCCCUGUAUGAUUCCUGGCAUUGCAGUUCCGAAGAAUGGACCCGGGCAUUUCCUGUUAUCAUGGUAGAGAACAUUGAUAAGGAGGACUACGGUGUGUGCUCUUCGUUCUUCGCCAGGAAUUAUGAUGGCGACAAACUGCAGAUCCCACUAACCAAAGCAAACCUGGAGAUACAUAGGAACCUGAUGUUGUACGAGGUUAUGCGCCUUUAGGGCAAUGAAUCGUCAGUGCCUUCUGAUGCACUUGAAGCUAUCAAGGGAUCAUUCGUAGCUCUGUGACCAGCCUGUCUAUGCUUAUGUCAUGUACAUCGACUCACCAGCCGCCACCAAUCUAUCUUUAAGAAUACUAGCUAUCCGCAAGAUGUUUUAAGUGGUCCCUUAAGCACUAGCAAGUUAUGUUUUUUGCUAGAUGCAGUCUUGUUGUCAAACAAAAUUUGAGAGGCACGUUGUUUCUAAAUUUGGACGCUGCCAAUUCAAAUUGUAUCAGCCCAUUUGUCCUUAAGGGAUGCCCCCAUCUGUUUAAAUGGGAAACCAUAUGUUUC